CGGCGGCCAUGGAGCGGCGCGGGGGCCGGCCGCAGGACUCUGGAGAUAGUGUUUCUGAGCUACGGGAAUGGAGACCAGCCAUUUACAGAAAGUGUACGGACACUCUCUGGCUGCUCCUCUUCUGUCUUUUCUGGGCUGGUUUGGACUUCUAUCCUUCUUCUCCUGUGUUAUUCUGCUUAAUUUAUAUACUUUCAACAAUAGAUGAAGGAAAGCUCCAAGGAAGCAAUAGGGCUGAACUUGCCCAUGUGACUUGCUCUGACCUUGUGCAGAUGUUUAUAAGUGGCUAUGCUGUGGUGGCUGGUGCUGCAGAAAGACUUGUGCUUGGAUAUGACAGCUUUGGGAACAUAUGUGGUCGGAAGAACACUCCUGUAGAAGGGGCAAAUCUUUCUGGAUUAGACAUGACUAAUAAAAAGUAUGUGUUCUUUCUGAAUUCAUGCAGCCUGGAAAUACAAAGCCUCAAAAGCAGUUCACUUUCCUUGUGCGUGGCAAGUUGUCCACAACAGCAACUGGACUCUUUGGAAGAUCUACAGAGUUUUGCAAGGAAUAAUGGUUCUUCCCUUUGCAUUUACAACCUGAAUGUUUCCAGUUACACACUAAAUCCAAAGGCAACUCAGCUGUGUCCCACACUGCCAGUUCCACCAAGUAAAUCCUUUCCAUUAUUUAAUCGCUGUGUUCCACAAAAUCCUGAAUGCUAUUCCAAAUAUGCAUCUGUCCUAAUAAGUAUGGUUAAUGAAAUGGAUGUUUUUCAUCGGAUUCUGAGUGGAAUAUUGGCAGGAAGAGAUACUGUGAUAGGACUGAGUGUCCUUGCACUAGCUCUCUCUUUGAUACUGGUUUUAGCCUUCAGAUUCAUUCAGACCCUCUUCAUCCAUACUCUGAUUGCACUGGUUGUAUUUGGGUUGUUGUUUGGCUCAGGUGUUCUCUGGUGGCUCCAUUACGACUACAGGAAUGACCCCAGCACUGAACUGGAAACAGAAAAGGAAAAUGUAAAGUUCCUACUUGGAUAUGCCAUCUUCUCAACAAUUGUCACUGUUGUUCUGCUGUCCCUUAUAUUUGUACUAAGAAAGAGGCUUCCGUUCUCUGUACAGCUCUUUCGAAUUGUUGGCAAAAUCAUUGGCAGAAUUCCUUUCCUCCUGUUCCAACCACUCUGGACUUUUCUGAUUCUCAUUGUGUUCUGGGUAUUUUGGGUUGCUGUACUGCUUAGCUUAGGAACUGCAGGUACUGCACAGUCCACUUCGGGAGGACAAGUAGAAUACAGAGCUCUGUCUGGAAUUUGCUACAUGGCAUGGUAUCAUUUCCUUGGCCUUAUCUGGACUAGUGAAUUCAUUCUUGCCUGUCAGCAAAUGGUGAUUGCUGGGGCAGUGGUUACUUGUUAUUUCAACAGAAAUAAAAAUAACCCACCACCUCACCCAGUCCUGUCUUCCAUAUCAGUUCUUUUCUGCUACCACCUAGGAACUGCUGUGAAAGGCUCAUUUCUAAUCACAAUACUGAGAAUACCAAAGAUUGUUCUCUUGUACCUUUACAAUAUCCUAAACCAAAAGAGGAAUGCAAAGCACCAGUUCAACUGCUGUUUCUGCUGGGUUUGCUUAAGAUACUUUAACCAGCAUGCAUACACAACUACAGCCAUAAAUGGGACAGAUUUUUGUACAUCAGCAAAGGAUGCUGUCAGUAUUUUGGCAAGGAAUUCUGCUAAAUUUGCAUCCAUUAGCUGCUUUGGAGAUUUUCUCCUAUUUUUAGGAAAGGUGUUUGUUGUAUGCUUCACUGUUUUUGGAGGAUUGAUGGCAUUUAACUACCACCGGGACUUGCAAGCUUGGGUAGUUCCUCUGUUGCUGGUUGGAUUUUUUGCCUACCUGAUGUCCCACAGCUUUCUGUCUGUGUUUGAAGUGACAGCAGAUGCCAUGUUCCUUUGCUUUGCUAUUGAUAUGGAAACAAAUGAUGGAACUGCAGAGAAGCCAUACUUUGUGGAUCAGGAGCUGCUGCCAUGCCCUAGAGCUGUGGGUGAAGAGAGGAUUUCCCACAGGGACAAGGAGUCUUCCAAGCAGGACAGGCUCUAUACCCUUCUAUGGAAAAACUGUGGGCAGCACAUCCAAACUCCUCCUCAUUGUAUGAUCAAGAGUAAGUUUGCUAACACAGACAAGAAUUUGGAGUUUCCCAACACAUGAAGGCAUUUAACUUGUCUGUGUUACAAUCAGGUUGCAAACAUCCCGGGGGUGGAAGGGAGGCUCUGUGGCCCUCAGGACAAUAUGCAGCAGUGGGUGGAGAGCAGGGGGAGGGAUUUCAUACAGCUGGAAACCUCAUUCCUGCAGUAGGAGAUGUAACAGAGUUUUUUGAUUCAUCUUUCUCAGUUGCAUUCAUCACUUUUACUGCCUCUGCAGUCCCUCACAGUGUCACUCAGUGUCAUCCAGCCAGGAACCAGCUACAGUUUCUUAGCCCUGGGCUAAUUAUCUUCCUUCACCAGGUAUUUUUAUUAGCAUAAUGGUUUCCUUUCACAAACGAUCUCACCCUGGUUUUUGCUUGUAGACCUUUGUGAGUCAGAGUAACAAGUUAACAGAAGGGCGAAAACACAGAAACACAAGACCAUUCCAGGAUAAUGAAGAUGGGACAGAGCUCCAGCCUAUGACUUGAAUGUGAAGUACACCAGGAGGUGUGGAAGCAGAGAGCAACAGCAAAAAUGGUCAUAUCAGUAAAGGUUACCAAUAGCCCAGGACAAAGUAUUGGCUCCCUAAAUCUGUUCUAUCUUCUGCACUGGUAAAAUGACACACAAUAUGUUUGUAUGAAUAAAAUAUUUUGUGUGUCAUUGCAUCUGAUUUUUUAUUACUACAUUUGCUAUGAUGGUCUGAAAGUUGACAAUAAACUCACUCUUUAUAAAUUU
Passer montanus (Eurasian tree sparrow) is the source of this 2869-nucleotide RNA transcript. It is a transcript of the gene named solute carrier family 44 member 3, with no coding region annotated. The record is from RefSeq and is a predicted model, not a curated record. Lineage: Eukaryota; Metazoa; Chordata; Aves; Passeriformes; Passeridae. The transcript has 17 exons.